This 681-nucleotide ribosomal RNA is filed under the name uncultured Leifsonia sp. Its description in RNAcentral is "bacterial SSU rRNA". It matches the Rfam family "Bacterial small subunit ribosomal RNA", at positions 434 to 1129 of the family's 1533-position model. The record is from RNAcentral. Lineage: Bacteria; Bacillati; Actinomycetota; Actinomycetes; Micrococcales; Microbacteriaceae.
UUUCAGUAGGGAAGAAACAAAUGACGGUACCCAAGCAGAAAGCCCCGGCUAACUACGUGCCAGCAGCCGCGGUAAUACGUAGGGGGCAAGCGUUGUCCGGAAUUAUUGGGCGUAAAGCGCGCGCAGGUGGUGAAUUAAGUUGUGGGUAAAAGGCAUUGGCUCAACCAAUGUAAGCCUGCAAAACUGGUUCACUUGAGUGCAGGAGAGGGGAGUGGAAUUCCCGGUGUAGCGGUGGAAUGCGUAGAUAUCGGGAGGAACACCAGUGGCGAAGGCGACUCUCUGGCCUGUAACUGACACUGAGGCGCGAAAGCGUGGGGAGCGAACAGGAUUAGAUACCCUGGUAGUCCACCCCGUAAACGUUGGGAACUAGUUGUGGGGUCCAUUCCACGGAUUCCGUGACGCAGCUAACGCAUUAAGUUCCCCGCCUGGGGAGUACGGCCGCAAGGCUAAAACUCAAAGGAAUUGACGGGGACCCGCACAAGCGGCGGAGCAUGCGGAUUAAUUCGAUGCAACGCGAAGAACCUUACCAAGGCUUGACAUAUACGAGAACGCUGCAGAAAUGUAGAACUCUUUGGACACUCGUAAACAGGUGGUGCAUGGUUGUCGUCAGCUCGUGUCGUGAGAUGUUGGGUUAAGUCCCGCAACGAGCGCAACCCUCGUUCUAUGUUGCCAGCACGUAAU